Molecule: ribosomal RNA, 253 nt
Filed under: uncultured bacterium
Lineage: Bacteria
Description: partial 16S ribosomal RNA
Rfam family: Bacterial small subunit ribosomal RNA
Source: RNAcentral
UACGUAGGGUGCGAGCGUUAAUCGGAAUUACUGGGCGUAAAGAGUGCGUAGGCGGUUUCUCAAGUCCGCUGUGAAAUCCCCGGGCUCAACCUGGGAAUGGCAGUGGAAACUAGGAGACUUGAAUCUGGCAGAGGGGGGUGGAAUUCCACGUGUAGCAGUGAAAUGCGUAGAGAUGUGGAGGAACACCUGUGGUGUAGACAGCUUACUGGACCACUUCUGACGCUGAGACACGAAAGCGUGGGUAGCAAACAGG